Molecule: long non-coding RNA, 2500 nt
Organism: Equus caballus (horse)
Lineage: Eukaryota; Metazoa; Chordata; Mammalia; Perissodactyla; Equidae
Source: Ensembl
CUGACUGAGGCAGAGGUACAAAAGGCCAGCCCUCUUGCCCCGAAGCAGGGCUAAGUCUGUGCUGUGAUUAAUUCUCCAAAGCUUCCUGAUGGAUCAGGCGGAAGCCAGACUCCACGCGGAGAUAACAUCUUUGCUUAGCCCUUUCCCCUGCCCUACCCUGCUUCCCCCGCACUCCUUUCUCCUGAGAGUUUUCCCUCAAUAAUCAUAUCCCUUGAAUACCUGUCUUAGGCUCUACUGCUGGGGAGCCCCCCUAAGACACCCCUCAAUAGAGCAAUGGAGUCCCUUAGUAAAAUCUGUACUCCUUUACUUGGCAUUCAAGGCCCUCUAUGAUCAGAGCACCCACUUUCCUGCCUUGUCCGCCCCGUCCCCCUUCCCUUGUGCUGUGUUGGUGCAGAGCAUAGCAGAUGACUGAACUGCAUGCUGAAUCGGCAUAUGUUGCCUCAUUUCCCACCUCUGAGCCUUUUCUAUGCUCUUCCUCCCGCUGGGCCUCUCUUUGCUGCCUCCAUCCUCCAUGCACAUUGAAGCACUACCCACACUUCAAGUGAAACCUUCCUGCCCUCGAGCCAGAAGCCCCGUCUCCCUCCUUUGAUCUCCCAGAGCACCUCCUGUGUCUCUCUGAUAACACGAAUCACCUUCUGCUUGGUAACUGUAGGGUAACACCAAGUUCAACGGCACUAUUUCUGUCUCAGUUGAGGCCCCAAAGCCAGCAGGUGCCAACCAGUCCACAUCCAAAGUGAGGCGCAAGACCACCCUAGCAGGACUUACAAAGGAGGUGGCCCAGAGCUGGAACUCCCUGCCGACCCUUCACCCCCAGGCCAUCAGUGAAGCUAUUGAUGAGUCAGUGUUUGCAGGUGCAAAGGAUGCUGAGGAUUUCCCAUGGAGCCUAUGGAGGUGAACUGGGAUUGUUUUUACAAAGGUGUGGACCAGCAGAUGCCCAGAGAUUGAGGGCAGAUGAAAUGACAGCUGGAGAGUGCCACACCCCUGCUAGGGAACAACGACAGAGCUGCUCAUCAAUCAUCUGUAACUGGGGACAGACAGACAGACGGUCGACCUGCGGAGCCAGGAGGAAGGAGUUCUUCUCAGUGACUUUUCAGAGGCACAGCACCCCCAGAGGAUCACAGAGCAGCCUGGAGGGCGUGCCACGCUCAAAGGCCCAAAGUCCUUCUCUCCAGCUUCGAGGGCAGGACAGUGAUGUUCAGGCCUCAGUUUCCCCUAGUACAGCUCUACCCCGACUUGGGCCAGCUGAAUGGGCUGCAGCUUCCUGCUAGUAGUGUUGACGCCUCAAGGAUCCUGUUUCCCCCAUCAGGCUGGCAAUCCUCUGAGGACGAGAACUUUGUCUUCUCUCUCGUUUCCUGUCUUUUCCUCACUCUAUCUGGAAUUCCCAGCUAAGAACUAUGAUCCAGAAACAACACUGCACUGGGAGUCACUGAACAAAUGUGUUAUGUUGAGUGAGCCAUGUCUUCUGGCACAAUCUGUCUUCUGGCAGAGUCUAUUUCCACUGUGGUGGAGUGAAGAGAACAGAGGUUUGCAAGCUAGAUCGGUGUCCCAUUUCAGCUCUACCACAGGCUAGCUGAGUAACCUUAGGAAAAUGUCUUAACCUCUCUGAGAUUCCAUUUCCUCAAAUGCAAAUGGAUUAUCAUAAAACCUACCUUAUGGGGUUGAUGGGAGAAUUAAAUGAGUUAACACAGAGCCAGAACUUAGAGAUACUUAAGACACAAUGCUUUCCUCUCUCCCUCCCUCCUUUCCUCUUUUCCUUUUGUCUCUGACUAUCUUGAAUUCACAGCCCUUUCCAUGGACUCUGGCCACUUUGCUGAUGGGGAAGUGAGAGAGUGGACCCCUGGGGACAAAAGAACCCUAUUGUUGGUGCUGGGUGGAUCCCUGAGUGGGGAGAGCUGGGGUGUGUGCUGAGUGGGGAUGUACCCUUGGGUGGGUGAGGCAGGGCAUUCCUGAUCGGCACAUCUUCCAUGAGGAUAAACUGGAAUGUGACACUGUAACUGUCAGACCCUGAGCGGCAGAACACGGAGGAGCCUAAAUAUUUCAUGGUCAAAUUCAUCAAUAAUGGAGAUGGAGACUAAAUUACAUAACUGUCACCUUUCUGUUAAAUAAUAUUUUCUGCAGGGGGCUGGGAGGGGGCCAUGGAGGCCUUUAUUGCAAGUCAUGAAUGAUUUAGGCCAGCAAAUAAAAGGGAUCAGAGAGAGAAGAAGGGAGAGGGAGUUUCCAGGAUCACCUAAUUCAUUGUCUGGGGCCGGCUGGAGGGAAUCUGAUGGUGUGAGGGUCUUGGGGAGAGGGGCCUGGGUACCCCUAUAGGACAGCUUUGGGGUUUGGGACAUACCCUCCAGAACAGGACAGGGUGAUUGAUGUGCUAACCUGAGUCUCGCUGUCAAGUUGUUCCUUUUACUUGGGAGAUGGACAGAAAGAAGCUCAGAGACACCCAGAAAUCAGGGGCUGUGUCUCCCCAUCAAAUGGAGAGGUACUCUGAGCGCGGGCGCUUGUCUCCGUC